GUGGCGACCGGCGCACGGGUGAGUAACGCGUAUGCAACCCAUCUAUCGGAGGGGAAUAACCCGGCGAAAGUCGGACUAAUACUGCAUAAAACAGGGACACCGCAUGGUGAUAUUUGUUAAAGAAAUUCGCUGAUAGAUGGGCAUGCGUUCCAUUAGGUAGUUGGUGAGGUAACGGCUCACCAAGCCGACGAUGGAUAGGGGAACUGAGAGGUUGGUCCCCCACACUGGUACUGAGACACGGACCAGACUCCUACGGGAGGCAGCAGUGAGGAAUAUUGGUCAAUGGGCGAGAGCCUGAACCAGCCAAGUCGCGUGAAGGAAGAAGGAUCUAUGGUUCGUAAACUUCUUUUGCAGGGGAAUAAAGUGCGGGACGUGUCCUGUUUUGUAUGUACCCUGAGAAUAAGGAUCGGCUAACUCCGUGCCAGCAGCCGCGGUAAUACGGAGGAUCCGAGCGUUAUCCGGAUUUAUUGGGUUUAAAGGGUGCGUAGGUGGUUUUAUAAGUCAGCGGUGAAAGUUUGCAGCUUAACUGUAAAAAUGCCGUUGAAACUGUAAGACUUGAGUGUAAAUGAGGUAGGCGGAAUGCGUGGUGUAGCGGUGAAAUGCAUAGAUAUCACGAAGAACUCCGAUUG
RNAcentral lists this ribosomal RNA (629 nucleotides) under uncultured Porphyromonadaceae bacterium. Its description in RNAcentral is "bacterial SSU rRNA". It matches the Rfam family "Bacterial small subunit ribosomal RNA", at positions 88 to 715 of the family's 1533-position model. Lineage: Bacteria; Pseudomonadati; Bacteroidota; Bacteroidia; Bacteroidales; Porphyromonadaceae. The record is from RNAcentral.